Molecule: ribosomal RNA, 255 nt
Filed under: uncultured bacterium
Lineage: Bacteria
Description: partial 16S ribosomal RNA
Rfam family: Bacterial small subunit ribosomal RNA
Source: RNAcentral
UCUUUCUUUUGCUGGCGACCGGCGCACGGGUGAGUAACACGUAUCCAACCUGCCUUUACUCGGGGAUAGCCUUUCGAAAGAAAGAUUAAUACCCGAUAGCAUAAUGAUUCCGCAUGGUUUCAUUAUUAAAGGAUUCCGGUAAAGGAUGGGGAUGCGUUCCAUUAGGUUGUUGGUGAGGUAACGGCCCACCAAGCCUUCGAUGGAUAGGGGUUCUGAGAGGAAGGUCCCCCACAUUGGAACUGAGACACGGUCCAA